AAACAACUCACCCAAAGCAAAAGUUUUUCAUAUCAUGAAGGUUGAAAGCAAGAGUAUCUCAUAUCAUGCUUUCUCCCUGUCCUUCUCCUUGUCGUUGUUUUCAUCUGCGGGACAAGGAGAAAGAGAGCAAUCAGCCAGCACUUGGUAUCAAUCUUCUGAUCUGGAACCAACUGCCUGGAACCCCUUCCUGAUUGCUUACCUAGCCCUGCUCUCGAGUACUCAUCUUUAACAUCUUAUGCUUCUUCUCCGUCUACCACAUCUGCUU
This 265-nucleotide long non-coding RNA is filed under the name Malus domestica (apple). RNAcentral's name for it is "long non-coding RNA (MDOM_LNC020816)". The record is from RNAcentral. Lineage: Eukaryota; Viridiplantae; Streptophyta; Magnoliopsida; Rosales; Rosaceae.